RNAcentral lists this ribosomal RNA (440 nucleotides) under uncultured bacterium. RNAcentral describes it as "partial 16S ribosomal RNA". It matches the Rfam family "Bacterial small subunit ribosomal RNA", at positions 338 to 795 of the family's 1533-position model. The record is from RNAcentral.
CCUACGUGAGGCAGCAGUGGGGAAUAUUGCACAAUGGGGGAAACCCUGAUGCAGCGACGCCGCGUGAGUGAAGAAGUAAUUCGUUAUGUAAAGCUCUAUCAGCAGGGAAGAAAAUGACGGUACCUGAGUAAGAAGCCCCGGCUAACUACGUGCCAGCAGCCGCGGUAAUACGUAGGGGGCAAGCGUUAUCCGGAUUUACUGGGUGUAAAGGGAGCGUAGACGGCAGCGCAAGUCUGGAGUGAAAUGCCGGGGCCCAACCCCGGAACUGCUCUGGAAACUGUGAAGCUGGAGUGCAGGAGAGGUAAGCGGAAUUCCUGGUGUAGCGGUGAAAUGCGUAGAUAUCAGGAGGAACACCGGCGGCGAAGGCGGCUUACUGGACUGUAACUGACGUUGAGGCUCGAAGGCGUGGGGAGCAAACAGGAUUAGAUACCCCAGUAGUC